This 433-nucleotide ribosomal RNA is filed under the name uncultured bacterium. RNAcentral describes it as "partial 16S ribosomal RNA". It matches the Rfam family "Bacterial small subunit ribosomal RNA", at positions 29 to 507 of the family's 1533-position model. The record is from RNAcentral.
AACGAACGCUGGCGGCAUGCCUAACACAUGCAAGUCGAACGAGACCUUCGGGUCUAGUGGCGCACGGGUGCGUAACGCGUGGGAACCUGCCCUUAGGUUCGGAAUAACUCCCCGAAAGGGGUGCUAAUACCGGAUAAUGUCUUCGGACCAAAGAUUUAUCGCCUUUGGAUGGGCCCGCGUUGGAUUAGCUAGUUGGUAGGGUAAAAGCCUACCAAGGCGACGAUCCAUAGCUGGUCUGAGAGGAUGAUCAGCCACACUGGGACUGAGACACGGCCCAGACUCCUACGCGAGGCAGCAGUGGGGAAUAUUGGACGAUGGGCGAAAGCCUGAUCCAGCAAUGCCGCGUGAGUGAUGAAGGCCUUAGGGUUGUAAAGCUCUUUUACCCGGGAUGAUAAUGACAGUACCGGGAGAAUAAGCUCCGGCUAACUCCGUG